GUCUUUUUGAGUUAUUUUUGAAGUCUAACCUGCCCACUGAAUAAUUUUUUAAAUGGCCGCAGUAUUUUAACUGUGCAAAGGUAGCAUAAUCAUUAGUCUUUUAAUUGAAGGCUGGAAUGAAUGGUUGGACGAAGUAUAAGCUGUUUCAUAUGAAUUUUUAAUAGAAUUUUAUAUUUUAGUUAAAAAGCUAAAAUGUGAUUAAAAGACGAGAAGACCCUAUAAAUCUUUACAUUUUGUGUUGAUUAAAUUUUUUUGAUUUGUUUUGUUUUUUUAAUUUUUAAUGUUUUGUUGGGGUGAUGUUAAAAUUUAAUAAACUUUUAAUUAAAAGUUAAAUCAUUAAUUUAUGAAUAAUUGAUCCAUUAAUAAUGAUUAUAAGAUUAAGUUACUUUAGGGAUAACAGCGUAAUUUUUUUUGAGAGUUCAUAUCGAUAAAAAAGUUUGCGACCUCGAUGUUGGAUUAAGAUAUAUUUUAGGUGUAGCCGUUUAAAUAUAAAGUCUGUUCGACUUUUAAAUUCUUACAU
This 520-nucleotide ribosomal RNA is filed under the name Ceratitis n. sp. OR. RNAcentral's name for it is "partial 16S ribosomal RNA". The stretch from base 393 to 520 matches the Rfam family "Bacterial large subunit ribosomal RNA", at positions 2473 to 2601 of the family's 2925-position model. The record is from RNAcentral. Lineage: Eukaryota; Metazoa; Arthropoda; Insecta; Diptera; Tephritidae.